RNAcentral lists this ribosomal RNA (548 nucleotides) under uncultured Glomeromycotina. RNAcentral describes it as "SSU rRNA". It matches the Rfam family "Eukaryotic small subunit ribosomal RNA", at positions 548 to 1097 of the family's 1831-position model. The record is from RNAcentral. Lineage: Eukaryota; Fungi; Glomeromycota.
UUGGAGGGCAAGUCUGGUGCCAGCAGCCGCGGUAAUUCCAGCUCCAAUAGCGUAUAUUAAAGUUGUUGCAGUUAAAAAGCUCGUAGUUGAAUUUCGGGGUUAGUAGGUUGGUCAUGCCUCUGGUAUGUACUGGUCUCACUGAUUCCUCCUUCCUGAUGAGCCGUAAUGCCAUUAAUUUGGUGUUGCGGGGAAUUUGGACUGUUACUUUGAAAAAAUUAGAGUGUUUAAAGCAAGCUAACGCUUGAAUACAUUAGCAUGGAAUAAUGAAAUAGGACGUUCGAUCCUAUUUUGUUGGUUUCUAGGAUUGACGUAAUGAUUAAUAGGGAUAGUUGGGGGCAUUAGUAUUCAAUUGUCAGAGGUGAAAUUCUUGGAUUUAUUGAAGACUAACUACUGCGAAAGCAUUUGCCAAGGAUGUUUUCAUUAAUCAAGAACGAAAGUUAGGGGAUCGAAGACGAUCAGAUACCGUCGUAGUCUUAACCAUAAACUAUGCCGACUAGGGAUCGGAUGAUGUUAAUUUUUUAAUGACUCAUUCGGCGCCUUACGGGAAA